CUAAGAUGCAUUAGGCACAAAACGUGUACCUAUCUUGCACCAAAACUAACUAUGUCUCCAAAUAGACUAAAGCGAGAUUUCGUAUGGCACAUGUCAUCUAGGAGUUCUAUUGGGUGUGUCCAAAUGGAUUUUUGAGCAUAUGGUACGUUCCUUGCAAACCGUGCACCUAUCUUGCAUCAAGAUUAGUACUAUCUCCAAACAGAUCGAACCAAGCUUCCACUUGAGCCUCUUCACCUAGGAGUAUCAUUGGGUGCUUCCACAAUAGUUUCUGAUGAGGACAUCCCUAGCAUUCAUUCAUCUUCAAAUGAAACUCCACUUGAUAUAAGUGGUCCAA
Molecule: long non-coding RNA, 334 nt
Filed under: Sorghum bicolor (sorghum)
Lineage: Eukaryota; Viridiplantae; Streptophyta; Magnoliopsida; Poales; Poaceae
Description: long non-coding RNA (SBIC_LNC018618)
Source: RNAcentral